GUCCCACCCCUCGCCCCGCUCUGGGGCGCCCAGACCCCGCGCUCCCGCGCCUGUCUGGCUCACCCAGGCUGUAGAGGCUGAGCGCGCCGUAGUCCAGGAAGUAGCAGAUGUGGCGCGCGCGGGGCGACAUGGAGCUGAAGGUGUGCGCGCAGCACGACGCGAAGGGGUAGAGGCAGGCGGGCAGCAGGAAGACCAGCAGCGGCCAGUGGUAUGGCUCCGCACGGAAGCCGGGGCCGCCCGCCAGCGCCAGGAGCCGCCACAGGAAGUACCUGCGGCGGGCGCGUGCUCAGGCCGCCGCGGACCCCAGCGACUGCCGCUGCAGCCCGUGGGCCUGGACGGUCCCUGCCCGCCUGGGUACCCCCUCUGAGCUCAAGGCCGCGGCCUGGGGCAGAGCCUCCCCUCACCAGGUGGGCAGGAAGUGAGUCCAGAUGUUGACCGUCUCGUUGGUCAUCUGGAAGGAGCUGAGGACACAGUCCAAAGCCGAGCUGGUGGGGCGGCGGUAGCCAGACAUGAUGCCAUCUUCCCAGAACACCUAGGGUAGUGGUGGGAGAGGAAGGCCGUCACUGUGCCUGGACCAUUUCCCUCCAUUUGAGAUCUCUGGAAGCAGGGUCAAAGAGGCUGGGCUGGAGAUCAACGUGGCCCCCAAGCCAAACUAAAUCUGAUCUGAUCUUACCACAGGUCCCAGUACCCACAAACCCACAAAACAGAUAGGAAACCCAAGAGCCAGACUGGGGUGGGAUGGGGGUGGAGCGCAGCACACAGGGCGCUCUGGGGAAGGGGACUCCAGAUGGAGGGCCACAAGCUUGUUCCUCAGAGAACAGAGGAAGAGUCUCACACUGGAAUGGGAGGGUAAGAGUUCGCCUGCAGGAGGGGCUGCCCCAAUAGCUAAAGAGAAGAACGUCAGCCCCUAGUCAGUCCUCUAGGGAAUGGGGGUUGGUGGGUCAGUGGGUGGAGCCCCUCACCCGGGGGACCUGGUGGACUUGAAGAAGUUGGGGCAGCUUGAGACUGAGCAUGGUGGCCUGGUACCUCCACGUUGACCUAGAGACAGAGUUGGGGGUAGGGGAUCAGAUAUCUGCCCCCAUCCACAGGCCCCUUUCACCUGGGUUCAGCCCCAGGAUGGGCUGUGCAUGUGGGAGGCAGAUAGGCAUCCUCCCUCCUGGAGCUGCUUCCUUCAGGCCUGGGGAGGCUGGUCCACCUUCCCCAGCCCUUGCACCACUUAACUCCAACCCCUGUUCUCCUUGGGGCAUUCAGUCCCCACACUGAGGGGCUUGGCAGCCUCAGCCCAGCAUAGAGUGGUGGGGUCCUCCCAGCUGGGAGGCUGCCUCAAAUAGUGAUCCAGCCCCCCAGGCCCCAGUUUUUGUCUCAGGAAGAAUCCUGACUCCUGGAGGCCAGCACAGACACAGCCCGAGUACCACUCCCUUUCCCACCAGAAUGUGCUUUGCCCACAGCACCCGAACUGCGCACAGAACACUCUUGGCACUCAGAAUCUCUGGAGAAGCCAGAUGCCAUCAGGUGGAGUCUCGCUCUGUCACCCAGGCUGGAGUGCAAUGGCGCUAUCUCGGCUCACUGCAAGCUCCGCCUCCCGGGUUUACGCCAUUCUCCUGCCUCAGCCUCCCGAGUAGCUGUGACUACAGGCACCCGCCACCGUGCCCAGCUAAUUUUUUUCUGUAUUUUUAGUAGAGACGGGGUUUCACUAUGUUAGCCAGGAUGGUCUUGAUCUCCUGACCUUGUGAUCUGCCCGCCUUGGCCACCCAAAGUGCUGGGAUUACAGGCGUGAGCCACCGCGCCCGGCCAGAGGCUGGUUUCAAGGCUCACCUCCCCACCCCCUGGAGGAAGAGGACCCAGCUGGUGACAGCGAACCAACCACAGGCAGCGAUGUUGCUGGAAAGAGAUUUUCACUAUCACCCCUGCAAAGGCACCGCAUCAGUUUACAGGGUCAAGGAACUUGACAGUGCCUAUCAAAUCAUCUCCAGGGCUUUCACUCAAAUUGCCUGCUUCUUGUUCUGUUCCAUCCACUUCAAAGAAACCUUUCCAAAAUGCAUUUCAGGAUGCCAUCUUCAAUGUCCUACCCCCCAAUAAAACUUCUGUACAGACAGGCA
Symphalangus syndactylus (siamang) is the source of this 2099-nucleotide long non-coding RNA. RefSeq lists it as uncharacterized. NCBI's taxonomy places the organism in Eukaryota, Metazoa, Chordata, Mammalia, Primates, Hylobatidae. The record is from RefSeq and is a predicted model, not a curated record.